UAUUGAAAUUACAUGAAAUGGUGCACCUAAGGGAAUGUUUAUGUUUCAGGAAAAAAAAAAAAUUGGACUGGAUUGAAAUGCAGCAUGAAUCAUAAGAGAAGUUUAGAAGCACAUGAAGAUGAAUGGGUCCCCAGUGACUCAACAGAGAACAUCUGCAGGAAGACGAAUUACUUUACCUGAACGGAAAUUGGGCUGCUUCAUUGGCUUUGGAUGAUGCCAUCCAAGUUGGCUGAGAGGAAAAGCAGAAGCUCAAAUUCCUCCAAGUGUGAUAAAGUAAAUCUCUGGUGGAGCAGGUCACAAUUUGAAGCUUUUCUGUGUAAUUAUUAGAGACUGAAAACUUCAUUAAAAAGAAAAAGUCAAGAUUAUUCUAUGAUCCUAAGAAUCUCAAUGCAAGGACAUCGGGUAAACAAUAAAGUAUUCUGAAACUUUCUGUAGAAUCUUAAA
Molecule: long non-coding RNA, 444 nt
Filed under: Coturnix japonica (Japanese quail)
Lineage: Eukaryota; Metazoa; Chordata; Aves; Galliformes; Phasianidae
Description: lncRNA (ENSCJPG00005011682.1)
Source: RNAcentral